Non-coding RNA from Biomphalaria pfeifferi, 202 nucleotides. The record is from the annotation of a GenBank genome assembly. Lineage: Eukaryota; Metazoa; Mollusca; Gastropoda; Planorbidae.
AUAAAUAGAGGCAGUACAAUUUUUUUAUUGUGUCAGAGUUAGAUCAAAGAUUUAAAUCGAUUAAAAAAACAAAAUCAUGUCUAACAAGAUGUUUUGAUAUAAUUUAAGAAAAGCAGGUCUUAUAGCCCAUCAACUAAAAUCUUUCAGUUAUUAGGGUUCUGUUGGUGCUCAAUUGGGUUGUUGAUGUUUCUGUUGUUAGGGU